UACGUAGGGGGCUAGCGUUGUCCGGAUUUAUUGGGCGUAAAGAGCGUGUAGGCGGUCAGGUAGGUCCGCUGUGAAAGUCCGAGGCUCAACCUCGGAAUGUCGGCGGAAACCCUCUGGCUAGAGUCCGGAAGAGGAGAGUGGAAUUCCCGGUGUAGCGGUGAAAUGCGCAGAUAUCGGGAAGAACACCCGUGGCGAAGGCGGCUCUCUGGAACGGUACUGACGCUGAGACGCGAAAGCGUGGGGAGCGAACAGG
This 253-nucleotide ribosomal RNA is filed under the name uncultured bacterium. RNAcentral describes it as "partial 16S ribosomal RNA". It matches the Rfam family "Bacterial small subunit ribosomal RNA", at positions 524 to 776 of the family's 1533-position model. The record is from RNAcentral.